This 292-nucleotide ribosomal RNA is filed under the name uncultured bacterium. RNAcentral describes it as "partial 16S ribosomal RNA". It matches the Rfam family "Bacterial small subunit ribosomal RNA", at positions 505 to 796 of the family's 1533-position model. The record is from RNAcentral.
GUGUCAGCAGCCGCGGUAAGACGAACCGUGCGAACGUUGUUCGGAAUCACUGGGCUUAAAGGGCGCGUAGGCGGGCUGCCAAGUCCGGGGUGAAAUCUUUCGGCUUAACCGGAAAAGUGCCUUGGAUACUGGCGGUCUCGAGGGAGAUAGGGGUAUGUGGAACUUCCGGUGGAGCGGUGAAAUGCGUUGAUAUCGGAAGGAACGCCGGUGGCGAAAGCGACGUACUGGAUCUCUUCUGACGCUGAGGCGCGAAAGCCAGGGGAGCGAACGGGAUUAGAUACCCGUGUAGUCC